GAGCAAACCCCAUCCUACACGAGCCGUUGCUGGUGAGACCCAGCUGCGUACGCUGUGCUGCAGAGCAGGAUCAGCACUGCCAUCCAGACUCUGCCUGUGCCCGAUGCACAAAACCGUGCGUUUGAGGAAGUACUUCUGGAGUUUGAAAAGCAUUGCUGGGGUUUGAGCUGGCUGCGGGUGGAAGGACUGAGCCUGGAAGGAAACCCCGUGUGAAAUCCCCAGCCUGCUUUGCAGAUGUUGGGCUGCUUCUGGGUGAGAUUUCAGCUUUUACAGGCAGAUGUCUGAAACACUCCUGGUGGGCUCGGUGCCUCGCUGCAGUAAAUUCAGGGGGGAGCUGGAAGAAGUGGGGAGAGUCCUGAUACCUUCCAGGAGCUGUCUCAGGAGAGGGACUGGACCAGCCUGA
Molecule: long non-coding RNA, 403 nt
Filed under: Phasianus colchicus (ring-necked pheasant)
Lineage: Eukaryota; Metazoa; Chordata; Aves; Galliformes; Phasianidae
Description: lncRNA (ENSPCLG00000000676.1)
Source: RNAcentral